RNAcentral lists this ribosomal RNA (468 nucleotides) under uncultured bacterium. Its description in RNAcentral is "partial 16S ribosomal RNA". It matches the Rfam family "Bacterial small subunit ribosomal RNA", at positions 28 to 507 of the family's 1533-position model. The record is from RNAcentral.
GACGAACGCUGGCGGCGUGCUUAACACAUGCAAGUCGAACGGAAAGGCCCUGCUUUUGUGGGGUGCUCGAGUGGCGAACGGGUGAGUAACACGUGAGUAACCUGCCCUUGACUUUGGGAUAACUUCAGGAAACUGGGGCUAAUACCGGAUAGGAGCUCCUGCUGCAUGGUGGGGGUUGGAAAGUUUCGGCGGUUGGGGAUGGACUCGCGGCUUAUCAGCUUGUUGGUGGGGUAGUGGCUUACCAAGGCUUUGACGGGUAGCCGGCCUGAGAGGGUGACCGGCCACAUUGGGACUGAGAUACGGCGCAGACUCCUACGGGAGGCAGCAGUGGGGAAUAUUGCACAAUGGGCGGAAGCCUGAUGCAGCAACGCCGCGUGCGGGAUGACGGCCUGCGGGGUGUAAACCGCUUUCGCCUGUGACGAAGCGUGAGUGACGGUAAUGGGUAAAGAAGCACCGGCUAACUACGUG